Molecule: ribosomal RNA, 253 nt
Filed under: uncultured bacterium
Lineage: Bacteria
Description: partial 16S ribosomal RNA
Rfam family: Bacterial small subunit ribosomal RNA
Source: RNAcentral
UACGUAGGUGGCAAGCGUUGUCCGGAUUUACUGGGCGUAAAGAGCGCGCAGGCGGUCGGAUCAGUCGAAUGUGAAAGCCCCCGGCUCAACUGGGGAGGGUCAUUCGAUACUGUCCGACUCGAAGGCAGGAGAGGGAAGCGGAAUUCCCGGUGUAGUGGUGAAAUGCGUAGAUAUCGGGAGGAACACCGGUGGCGAAGGCGGGUCUCUGGGCAUCUCCUGACGCUGAGGCGCGAAAGCGUGGGGAGCAAACGGG